AGGCCUACGGGGCGCAGCAGUGAGGAAUAUUGGUCAAUGGCCGAGAGGCUGAACCAGCCAAGUCGCGUGAGGGAUGACGGCCCUACGGGUUGUAAACCUCUUUUGUCGGGGAGCAAGACCCGCCACGAGUGGCGGAGCGAGAGUACCCGAAGAAAAAGCAUCGGCUAACUCCGUGCCAGCAGCCGCGGUAAUACGGAGGAUGCGAGCGUUAUCCGGAUUUAUUUGGUUUAAAGGGUGCGUAGGCGGGACGGUAAGUCAGCGGUAAAAAUGCGGAGCUCAACUCCGUCGAGUCGAUGAAACUGCCG
Molecule: ribosomal RNA, 305 nt
Filed under: uncultured bacterium
Lineage: Bacteria
Description: bacterial SSU rRNA
Rfam family: Bacterial small subunit ribosomal RNA
Source: RNAcentral